UCUGAAGGAGAUUAAAGAUUUAUCGGUGAUGGAUGGGGAUGCGUCUGAUUAGCUUGUUGGCGGGGUAACGGCCCACCAAGGCUACGAUCAGUAGGGGUUCUGAGAGGAAGGUCCCCCACAUUGGAACUGAGACACGGUCCAAACUCCUACGGGAGGCAGCAGUGAGGAAUAUUGGUCAAUGGACGAGAGUCUGAACCAGCCAAGUAGCGUGCAGGAAGACGGCCCUAUGGGUUGUAAACUGCUUUUAUAAGGGAAUAAAGUGAGUCUCGUGAGACUUUUUGCAUGUACCUUAUGAAUAAGGACCGGCUAAUUCCGUGCCAGCAGCCGCGGUAAUACGGAAGGUCCGGGCGUUAUCCGGAUUUAUUGGGUUUAAAGGGAGCGUAGGCCGGAGAUUAAGCGUGUUGUGAAAUGUAGACGCUCAACGUCUGCACUGCAGCGCGAACUGGUUUCCUUGAGUACGCACAAAGUGGGCGGAAUUCGUGGUGUAGCGGUGAAAUGCUUAGAUAUCACGAAGAACUCCGAUUGCGAAGGCAGCUCACUGGAGCGCAACUGACGCUGAAGCUCGAAAGUGCGGGUAUCGAACAGGAUUAGAUACCCUGGUAGUCCGCACGGUAAACGAUGGAUGCCCGCUGUUGGUCUGAAUAGGUCAGCGGCCAAGCGAAAGCAUUAAGCAUCCCACCUGGGGAGUAC
This 690-nucleotide ribosomal RNA is filed under the name uncultured bacterium. Its description in RNAcentral is "bacterial SSU rRNA". It matches the Rfam family "Bacterial small subunit ribosomal RNA", at positions 190 to 883 of the family's 1533-position model. The record is from RNAcentral.